Molecule: ribosomal RNA, 496 nt
Filed under: uncultured bacterium
Lineage: Bacteria
Description: partial 16S ribosomal RNA
Rfam family: Bacterial small subunit ribosomal RNA
Source: RNAcentral
GAUGAACGCUGGCGGCGUGCCUAAUACAUGCAAGUCGAGCGAACAGACGAGGAGCUUGCUCCUCUGACGUUAGCGGCGGACGGGUGAGUAACACGUGGAUAACCUACCUAUAAGACUGGGAUAACUUCGGGAAACCGGAGCUAAUACCGGAUAAUAUAUUGAACCGCAUGGUUCAAUAGUGAAAGACGGUUUUGCUGUCACUUAUAGAUGGAUCCGCGCCGCAUUAGCUAGUUGGUAAGGUAACGGCUUACCAAGGCAAUGAUGCGUAGCCGACCUGAGAGGGUGAUCGGCCACACUGGAACUGAGACACGGUCCAGACUCCUACGGGAGGCAGCAGUAGGGAAUCUUCCGCAAUGGGCGAAAGCCUGACGGAGCAACGCCGCGUGAGUGAUGAAGGUCUUCGGAUCGUAAAACUCUGUUAUUAGGGAAGAACAAAUGUGUAAGUAACUAUGCACGCCUUGACGGUACCUAAUCAGAAAGCCACGGCUAACUACGU